This 433-nucleotide ribosomal RNA is filed under the name uncultured soil bacterium. RNAcentral describes it as "bacterial SSU rRNA". It matches the Rfam family "Bacterial small subunit ribosomal RNA", at positions 26 to 465 of the family's 1533-position model. The record is from RNAcentral.
AGAUUGAACGCUGGCGGCAGGCCUAACACAUGCAAGUCGAGCGGUAGAGAGGUGCUUGCAUCUCUUGAGAGCGGCGGACGGGUGUGUAAUGCCUAGGAAUCUGCCUAGUGGUGGGGGAUAACGUUCGGAAACGGACGCUAAUACCGCAUACGUCCUACGGGAGAAAGCGGGGAACCUUCGGGCCUCGCGCCAUUAGAUGGGCCUAGGUCGGAUUAGCUAGUUGGUGAGGUAAUGGCUCACCAAGGCGACGAUCCGUAACUGGUCUGAGAGGAUGAUCAGUCACACUGGAACUGAGACACGGUCCAGACUCCUACGGGAGGCAGCAGUGGGGAAUAUUGGACAAUGGGACGAAAGCCUGAUCCAGCCAUGCGCGUGUGUGAAGAGGUCUUCGGAUUGAAAGCUAUUAAGUGGAGAGGUUGUAACGUAAUACGUG